This 1049-nucleotide long non-coding RNA is filed under the name Linum usitatissimum (flax). RNAcentral's name for it is "long non-coding RNA (LUSI_LNC007644)". Lineage: Eukaryota; Viridiplantae; Streptophyta; Magnoliopsida; Malpighiales; Linaceae. The record is from RNAcentral.
CUGAUGGGAUCCGGUGCAUUAGUGCUGGUAUGAUCGCACCCGUCCACUUCUCACGAUCACGCUUAUUUGAACCACUCCCGUCACUACUUCCUCCCUUCAUUUUCAUGCUUUUCGCUUUCUUUUAAUUACAUUUUAGCCCGUUCCCGCCCGAGCCUCGAAAAUGACCGAUCCCUCCGUUCCCCUCCCUCAUUAUGCGUGUAAUAUAAACGAUGUAAUCUCGGUAAGAGUGUCCAUAACGUCGCCGGGAGAAAAAAUUGCAAAAAGAGGAGGGGGGUGCAACACGAGGACUUCCCAAGAGGUCACCCAUCUUAGUACUACUCUCGCACAAGCACGUUUAACUUCGGAGUUCUAAUGGGAUCCGGUGCAUUAGUGCUGGUAUGAUCGCACCCGUCCACUUCUCACGAUCACGCUUAUUUGAACCCCUCCCGUCACUACUUCCUCCCUUCAUUUUCAUGCUUUUCGCUUUCUUUUAAUUACAUUUUGCCCCGUUCCCGCCCGAGCCUGGAAAGUACCCCCCCUCUCGGUUCCCCUCUGUCAUUAUGCAUGUAAUAUAAACGAUGUAACCUCGCUAAGCGUGCCCAUACCGUCGCCGGAGAAAAAUUGCAAAAGGAGGGGGUGCAUGACGAGGACUUCCCAAGAGGUCACCCAUCUUAGUACUACUCUCGCCCAAGCACGUUAAAAUUCAGAAAACUGAUGAGAUCUGGUGCAUUAGUGCUGGUAUUAUUGAACCCAUCUGGUACUCACGCUCUUGUGUAUAUCAACCACUCCCGUCACUACUUCCUCCCUUCAUUAUCAAUCUUUUAUGUUACUUUAAACUGCGUUAAGGCCCGUCCCCCUACGUCAUAAUGUAAGAAACAUAAAUGAUUUUAUCUUGUUAGAAGUGUCGACGGCGCAGGGGGCAAAAAAUUUUGCGAAAAAGAGGGGGUUGCAGACGGGGAGGGGGUGCAUGACGAGGACUUCCCAAGAGGUCACCCAUCUUAGUACUACUCUCGCCCAAGCACGUUUAACUUCGGAGUUCUGAUGGGAUCAGUUGCAUUAGUGCUGGUAUG